UACGUAGGAGGCGAGCGUUGUCCGGAAUCACUGGGGGUAAAGCGCGUGUAGGCGGCCUGCCAAGUCUGCUGUGAAAGCGCCUGGCUUAACCGGGCGAGGUCGGUGGAAACUGGCGGGCUGGAGGACGGUAGAGGGGGGUGGAAUUCCCGGUGUAGUGGUGAAAUGCGUAGAGAUCGGGAGGAACACCAGUGGCGAAGGCGGCCCCCUGGGCCGUUCCUGACGCUGAGACGCGAAGGCGCGGGGAGCGAACGGG
This 253-nucleotide ribosomal RNA is filed under the name uncultured bacterium. RNAcentral describes it as "partial 16S ribosomal RNA". It matches the Rfam family "Bacterial small subunit ribosomal RNA", at positions 524 to 776 of the family's 1533-position model. The record is from RNAcentral.